ACAGCGAUGGUCCAGUGGCCGGGCCCCGGUUUCCAAAACCGGUGAGUGGGGUUCGAUUCCUCAUCGCUGUGCCA
Molecule: transfer RNA, 74 nt
Filed under: Planctomycetota bacterium
Lineage: Bacteria; Pseudomonadati; Planctomycetota
Description: Planctomycetes bacterium (soil metagenome) tRNA-Trp
Rfam family: tRNA
About the family: Transfer RNA (tRNA) molecules are approximately 80 nucleotides in length. Their secondary structure includes four short double-helical elements and three loops (D, anti-codon, and T loops).
Source: RNAcentral